Molecule: ribosomal RNA, 485 nt
Filed under: Pseudomonas sp. APSLA3
Lineage: Bacteria; Pseudomonadati; Pseudomonadota; Gammaproteobacteria; Pseudomonadales; Pseudomonadaceae
Description: bacterial SSU rRNA
Rfam family: Bacterial small subunit ribosomal RNA
Source: RNAcentral
GAACGCUGGCGGCAGGCCUAACACAUGCAAGUCGAGCGGAUGAGAAGAGCUUGCUCUUCGAUUCAGCGGCGGACGGGUGAGUAAUGCCUAGGAAUCUGCCUGAUAGUGGGGGACAACGUUUCGAAAGGAACGCUAAUACCGCAUACGUCCUACGGGAGAAAGCAGGGGACCUUCGGGCCUUGCGCUAUCAGAUGAGCCUAGGUCGGAUUAGCUAGUUGGUGGGGUAAUGGCUCACCAAGGCGACGAUCCGUAACUGGUCUGAGAGGAUGAUCAGUCACACUGGAACUGAGACACGGUCCAGACUCCUACGGGAGGCAGCAGUGGGGAAUAUUGGACAAUGGGCGAAAGCCUGAUCCAGCCAUGCCGCGUGUGUGAAGAAGGUCUUCGGAUUGUAAAGCACUUUAAGUUGGGAGGAAGGGCAGUAAGCGAAUACCUUGCUGUUUUGACGUUACCGACAGAAUAAGCACCGGCUAACUCUGUGCCAG